CCCUUAGAUGUUCUGGGCCGCACGCGCGCUACACUGAUGCAUUCAACGAGUUCCUACCUUGGCCGAGAGGCCUGGGCAAUCUUUUGAACUUGCAUCGUGAUAGGGAUAGAUUAUUGCAAUUAUUAAUCUUGAACGAGGAAUUCCUAGUAAACGCAGAUCAUCAAUCUGCAUUGAUUACGUCCCUGCCCUUUGUACACACCGUCCGUCGCACCUACCGAUUGAAUGGUCCGGUGAAGCCUCGGGAUUGUGGUUAGUUUCCUUCAUUGGAAGUUAGCCGCGAGAACUUGUCUAAACCUUAUCAUUUAGAGGAAGGUGAAGUCGUAACA
This 326-nucleotide ribosomal RNA is filed under the name uncultured eukaryote. RNAcentral's name for it is "partial 18S ribosomal RNA". It matches the Rfam family "Eukaryotic small subunit ribosomal RNA", at positions 1470 to 1796 of the family's 1831-position model. The record is from RNAcentral.